Molecule: ribosomal RNA, 253 nt
Filed under: uncultured bacterium
Lineage: Bacteria
Description: partial 16S ribosomal RNA
Rfam family: Bacterial small subunit ribosomal RNA
Source: RNAcentral
UACGUAGGGUGCGAGCGUUGUCCGGAAUUAUUGGGCGUAAAGGGCUCGUAGGCGGUCUGUCACGUCGAAAGUGAAAACUCAGGGCUUAACCCUGAGCCUGCUUCCGAUACGGGCAGACUAGAGGUAUGCAGGGGAGAAUGGAAUUCCUGGUGUAGCGGUGAAAUGCGCAGAUAUCAGGAGGAACAUCAGUGGCGAAGGCGGUUCUCUGGGCAUUACCUGACGCUGAGGAGCGAAAGUGUGGGGAGCAAAAGGG